Molecule: long non-coding RNA, 274 nt
Filed under: Hordeum vulgare
Lineage: Eukaryota; Viridiplantae; Streptophyta; Magnoliopsida; Poales; Poaceae
Description: long non-coding RNA (HVUL_LNC003000)
Source: RNAcentral
GGCGAGGGGAGGGGAGGGGGAGAGGGGUGGGUGGGUGAUGGGGGGUGGUGCGGAGGGGAGGAGAGGAGGGGAGUAGUUUAUAGACGGCGACGAGCGAGCGCGGGCCGGCUUGCUUGCUGCUGCGCCUCUCGGGCGCACGGAGAGGCGAGCGACGGGCAGGCGCAGGGAACCGCGACCGGGCGGAUGGAUCAGGAAAGGGGCCGCUGGGCGAACGGGAGGGCGAGGAGGGGGGUGGCCGCGGUUGGGUUUGUGUGGUUUUUAAAACCGGGGUGGG